CAUUAAGAAGCUAAUUGAUAAGCAUCAGCCUUUUAAGCUGAAGACUGGUGGCCCAAAACCACCCUUAAUGA
RNAcentral lists this transfer RNA (71 nucleotides) under Coryphaenoides alateralis. Its description in RNAcentral is "tRNA-Lys". It matches the Rfam family "tRNA". Rfam says of the family: Transfer RNA (tRNA) molecules are approximately 80 nucleotides in length. Their secondary structure includes four short double-helical elements and three loops (D, anti-codon, and T loops). Lineage: Eukaryota; Metazoa; Chordata; Actinopteri; Gadiformes; Macrouridae. The record is from RNAcentral.